UACGGGGGGGGCAAGCGUUGUUCGGAAUUACUGGGCGUAAAGGGCUCGUAGGCGGCCAACUAAGUCAGACGUGAAAUCCCUCGGCUUAACCGGGGAACUGCGUCUGAUACUGGAUGGCUCGAGUUUGGGAGAGGGAUGCGGAAUUCCAGGUGUAGCGGUGAAAUGCGUAGGUAUCUGGAGGAACACCGGUGGCGAAGGCGGCAUCCUGGACCAACACUGACGCUGUUGAGCGAAAGCCAGGGGAGCAAACGGG
This 253-nucleotide ribosomal RNA is filed under the name uncultured bacterium. RNAcentral describes it as "partial 16S ribosomal RNA". It matches the Rfam family "Bacterial small subunit ribosomal RNA", at positions 524 to 776 of the family's 1533-position model. The record is from RNAcentral.